GCCAGGCGCAGUGGCUCACGCCUGUAAUCCCAGUGACUCAGGAGGCUGAGGCAGGAGGAUCACUAGUUCAAAGCCAGCCUCAGCAAUGGUGAGGUGCUAAGCAACAGAGUGAGACCUUGUCUCUA
This 125-nucleotide small RNA is filed under the name Marmota monax (woodchuck). Lineage: Eukaryota; Metazoa; Chordata; Mammalia; Rodentia; Sciuridae. The record is from RNAcentral.